CACUCCUGCGGGAGGCAGCAGUGGGGAAUAUUGCACAAUGGGCGCAAGCCUGAUGCAGCCAUGCCGCGUGUAUGAAGAAGGCCUUCGGGUUGUAAAGUACUUUCAGCGGGGAGGAAGGUGUUGAGGUUAAUAACCUCAGCAAUUGACGUUACCCGCAGAAGAAGCACCGGCUAACUCCGUGCCAGCAGCCGCGGUAAUACGGAGGGUGCAAGCGUUAAUCGGAAUUACUGGGCGUAAAGCGCACGCAGGCGGUCUGUCAAGUCGGAUGUGAAAUCCCCGGGCUCAACCUGGGAACUGCAUUCGAAACUGGCAGGCUAGAGUCUUGUAGAGGGGGGUAGAAUUCCAGGUGUAGCGGUGAAAUGCGUAGAGAUCUGGAGGAAUACCGGUGGCGAAGGCGGCCCCCUGGACAAAGACUGACGCUCAGGUGCGAAAGCGUGGGGAGCAAACAGGAUUAGAAACCCCAGUAGUCCCAU
Molecule: ribosomal RNA, 473 nt
Filed under: uncultured organism
Description: partial 16S ribosomal RNA
Rfam family: Bacterial small subunit ribosomal RNA
Source: RNAcentral